GAUGAACGCUGGCGGCGUGCCUAAUACAUGCAAGUCGAGCGAACGGACGAGAAGCUUGCUUCUCUGAUGUUAGCGGCGGACGGGUGAGUAACACGUGGAUAACCUACCUAUAAGACUGGGAUAACUUCGGGAAACCGGAGCUAAUACCGGAUGAUAUUUUGAACCGCAUGGUUCAAAAGUGAAAGACGGUCUUGCUGUCACUUAUAGAUGGAUCCGCGUUGCAUUAGCUAGUUGGUAAGGUAACGGCUUACCAAGGCAACGAUGCAUAGCCGACCUGAGAGGGAGGUCGGCCACACUGGAAGUGAGACACGGUCCAGACGCCUGCGGGGGGCAGCAGUAGGGAAUCUUCCGCAAGGGGCGAGAGCCGGACGGAGCAACGCCGCCUGAAUGAUGAAGGUGUUCGGAUGGUAAAGCUCUGUUAUUAGGGAAGAAAAAAAGUGUAAGUAACUGUGCACAUCAUGACGGUACCUGAUCAAAAAGCCACGGCUAACUACGUG
Molecule: ribosomal RNA, 497 nt
Filed under: uncultured bacterium
Lineage: Bacteria
Description: partial 16S ribosomal RNA
Rfam family: Bacterial small subunit ribosomal RNA
Source: RNAcentral